RNAcentral lists this ribosomal RNA (1225 nucleotides) under Chryseobacterium sp. StRB339. RNAcentral describes it as "bacterial SSU rRNA". It matches the Rfam family "Bacterial small subunit ribosomal RNA", at positions 129 to 1361 of the family's 1533-position model. The record is from RNAcentral. Lineage: Bacteria; Pseudomonadati; Bacteroidota; Flavobacteriia; Flavobacteriales; Weeksellaceae.
CCUUUAUCAGGGGGAUAGCCUUUCGAAAGGAAGAUUAAUACCCCAUAAUAUAUUAAGUGGCAUCACUUGAUAUUGAAAACUACGGUGGAUAGAGAUGGGCACGCGCAAGAUUAGAUAGUUGGUAGGGUAACGGCCUACCAAGUCUACGAUCUUUAGGGGGCCUGAGAGGGUGAUCCCCCACACUGGUACUGAGACACGGACCAGACUCCUACGGGAGGCAGCAGUGAGGAAUAUUGGACAAUGGGUGAGAGCCUGAUCCAGCCAUCCCGCGUGAAGGACGACGGCCCUAUGGGUUGUAAACUUCUUUUGUAUAGGGAUAAACCUAGAUACGUGUAUCUAGCUGAAGGUACUAUACGAAUAAGCACCGGCUAACUCCGUGCCAGCAGCCGCGGUAAUACGGAGGGUGCAAGCGUUAUCCGGAUUUAUUGGGUUUAAAGGGUCCGUAGGCGGAUCUGUAAGUCAGUGGUGAAAUCUCACAGCUUAACUGUGAAACUGCCAUUGAUACUGCAAGUCUUGAGUGUUGUUGAAGUAGCUGGAAUAAGUAGUGUAGCGGUGAAAUGCAUAGAUAUUACUUAGAACACCAAUUGCGAAGGCAGGUUACUAAGCAACAACUGACGCUGAUGGACGAAAGCGUGGGGAGCGAACAGGAUUAGAUACCCUGGUAGUCCACGCCGUAAACGAUGCUAACUCGUUUUUGGAUUUUCGGAUUCAGAGACUAAGCGAAAGUGAUAAGUUAGCCACCUGGGGAGUACGUUCGCAAGAAUGAAACUCAAAGGAAUUGACGGGGGCCCGCACAAGCGGUGGAUUAUGUGGUUUAAUUCGAUGAUACGCGAGGAACCUUACCAAGGCUUAAAUGGGAAAUGACAGGUUUAGAAAUAGACUUUUCUUCGGACAUUUUUCAAGGUGCUGCAUGGUUGUCGUCAGCUCGUGCCGUGAGGUGUUAGGUUAAGUCCUGCAACGAGCGCAACCCCUGUCACUAGUUGCCAUCAUUAAGUUGGGGACUCUAGUGAGACUGCCUACGCAAGUAGAGAGGAAGGUGGGGAUGACGUCAAAUCAUCACGGCCCUUACGCCUUGGGCCACACACGUAAUACAAUGGCCAGUACAGAGGGCAGCUACACAGCGAUGUGAUGCAAAUCUCGAAAGCUGGUCUCAGUUCGGAUUGGAGUCUGCAACUCGACUCUAUGAAGCUGGAAUCGCUAGUAAUCGCGCAUCAGCCAUGGCGCG